Molecule: transfer RNA, 76 nt
Filed under: Candidatus Kentrum sp. LPFa
Lineage: Bacteria; Pseudomonadati; Pseudomonadota; Gammaproteobacteria
Also listed under: 1 other name
Description: Candidatus Kentron sp. LPFa tRNA_Phe_GAA
Rfam family: tRNA
About the family: Transfer RNA (tRNA) molecules are approximately 80 nucleotides in length.
Source: RNAcentral
GGCCAGGUAGCUCAGUCGGUAGAGCAGUGGACUGAAAAUCCUCGUGUCGGUGGUUCGAUUCCGCCCCUGGCCACCU